RNAcentral lists this ribosomal RNA (201 nucleotides) under uncultured bacterium. RNAcentral describes it as "partial 16S ribosomal RNA". It matches the Rfam family "Bacterial small subunit ribosomal RNA", at positions 524 to 717 of the family's 1533-position model. The record is from RNAcentral.
UACGUAGGGGGCAAGCGUUGUCCGGAAUCAUUGGGCGUAAAGAGCGCGUAGGCGGUCCAGUAAGUCCGCUCUGAAAGUCCGGGGCUCAACCCCGGGAGGCGGGCGGAUACUGGCUGGGCUAGAGUCCGGGAAGAGGCGAGUGGGAAAUCCUGGUGUAGCGGUGAAAUGACGCAGAUAUCAGGGAGGGAAACACCCAAAUGG